UGAAGCUCCAACCACUACCACCCCACAAUACCUACAUCAAUGGAUAGAGCUCCUCAAGACCUAGCUAUUGAUGCCAAUUUCACCCUGAAAAUCCGGUGACCAAAAUCCGGCCAAAUUCCGGCGACCUCCCCGAACACCCUCUUUUUGCAUACCACCAUUUUUUCGGCCACUUGAAUUGUAAAAUGACUUGCUGCUGGUUUUGCUGCUGUUUUGCUGUUGUUUUUAUGCUGCUUUAGUUGCUGAACUACUGUUAAUUCUUUUGCUACCAGGUCGUUUAUGGAUUUUUUAAGCAUGUUUUCAAGCUAUUAUAUCCGAGUAACAAUGAUAAGUAUGCCAUGAAUGACUUUAAGUGUAUAACACAUAAGCAUGAGUUUGUUUUAGUUGCUGAAAUUUCACUGCCAACAUAUGCUUCUAGGAAUGCUGUGAUAAUAUCUUUGU
Nicotiana tabacum (common tobacco) is the source of this 438-nucleotide non-coding RNA. Lineage: Eukaryota; Viridiplantae; Streptophyta; Magnoliopsida; Solanales; Solanaceae. The record is from RefSeq and is a predicted model, not a curated record.